UUUAUUAUGGUAAAAAUACCCUGUUAAUAUAAAAAAGAAGAUGUGGUAUGAUUGCCAAUGAGACAACUAUCCACAAAAGACCAAAAUAACACAGACAUUUACAACUGCAUGUUACCGUACGGCCUUCAAGAAUGAUUUGUGUUUUGUUUCUUGUUUUUCUUCGUUGUAUAGAACGAAUUAGUUCAUCCCAUUACAGCCAAGUUUUAUAGUUCAAAUGUUGUAAACCACUGAAGUAUAAUGCAUUCAUUUUUAUAUAAAUCAUAAAAAAAAAUCAUAAAAUCAGUUAUUCAUUUAUAAUAACCUUACGGUUCAUCCUGUCUGUCCACUUUCAUCACAAUAACACAUUUUGCCGCUUCGACAUCUGAGCCAACUACACAACAAGUUGCACAAUCCCAAGCAUCGAUAUCAUGUAUUGAUGAAGGGCUUUCGAAAUAUUUAACAGUUGCUAUAAUAUAACCAAAAAAAUCGAGUGAAUGUUUGUUAGAGUUUGAUUCAUUCUGUUUAUUGGUUUUUUUUAUCAUUAUUUUAACAUGUUUAAUCGAUAGAAUCUGAAUUCGUUAAGUGUUAACCGUUGGAGGUAACAAACUAAUAUCGUUUUGUAAAAUUUUGUAUAAUCUAUUUACUGUUUAGUUUAGGCAUAUUAAUUUAUAGUGGAUUGGGAAACAAGUUAUUGCAACUUUUUUACUGUGUAUCCGUGUAAAUGUGUAGAUUAAUUCAAACAUUGUCUGUGUAAAUUUGUAGUUGUUGAAAAAGUACAACUAUGUCCAUAUACCGAAAUCCUAAGACAAAAUCGGGAAGAACCUGAUACAUGUUAUCAAUAAACAAAUAAAAAGCUUUAUUGCUUUACGAUAUAUGUUCCAGAGGAUAUGAAUAUUUGGACCGUACGCGUACGGUCCGACCAUAUGCAUACAAUCGGAUCAUAUGAGUAUACGCAUACGGUCUAAAACGAACUGGAUCAUAUAUUUAUUUCGAGCAUAUGGAUGUAUUAUCGAAAAACAUUUAUUAUGAUCUUUUAUUGAGUUGUACAAAUUAAUACUAUUACAUUUAGA
Molecule: long non-coding RNA, 1049 nt
Filed under: Mytilus galloprovincialis (Mediterranean mussel)
Lineage: Eukaryota; Metazoa; Mollusca; Bivalvia; Mytilida; Mytilidae
Source: RNAcentral